GCCAGGUGUGGUGAUGCACACCUGUAAUCCCAGCUGCUUGGGAGGCUAAGGCACGAGAAUUGCUUGAACCCAGGAGAUGGAGGUUGCAGUGAGCCGAGAUCAUGCCACUGCAAUCCAACCUGGGUGACAGAGUGAAACUCCAUCUCAAUUAAGAAAAAAAAAUGUUUUUGAGCCCGGGUAACACAGUGAGACUCCAUCUCUAUCAAAAAAUUUUUGUCGCCCAGGCUGGUGUGUAAUGGCGCGAUCUCAGCUCACUGCAACCUCUGCCUCCUGGGUUCAAGCGAUUCUCCUGCCUCA
Homo sapiens (human) is the source of this 297-nucleotide non-coding RNA. It matches the Rfam family "Metazoan signal recognition particle RNA". Rfam says of the family: The signal recognition particle (SRP) is a universally conserved ribonucleoprotein. It is involved in the co-translational targeting of proteins to membranes. The eukaryotic SRP consists of a 300-nucleotide 7S RNA and six proteins: SRPs 72, 68, 54, 19, 14, and 9. The record is from Rfam. NCBI's taxonomy places the organism in Eukaryota, Metazoa, Chordata, Mammalia, Primates, Hominidae.